GAAAUAUAGAAAAUUAUUGUUAUUUUUAGUUAACUUAAUUUAAAAAAAGUAUUUUUAGUUUAGUAAAAAUAUGAAUAAUAGGGUAAAUUAUAAUAGAGUAUUAGUAUUGUGAAAGAAAUUUUUCUAUGGGGAAAAGAAAAAUAUUAUUUUGUACCUUGUGUAUCAGGGUUGAUUAAUUUUUAUAGGGAAGAUUUAAUUUUUCGAAUUUAAAAGAGUUAAGUUUAAAUUAAUUAAUUGUGGAAUAAAUUUUUAAAAUUUAAAUUUAGUAAUGAAAUGUUAUUCGUUUUUAAUAUAUCUAGUUAUUGAAGAAAAAAGUUUAAUUUAUUUAUUAGUUAUUAUUUUUUUAAUUUUAAAGUUAAAUGGUAAUUAAUAGGUUAUUUGAAAGGGGAUGAGCUUUUUUGAAGAUUUUUAUAAAUUUUAAAAAUAAUAAAAAAUUAUAGGGUUAGAAGUGCUUUUUUUAUAAAGUGUUAUAAUUAAUUUUUAGGGGAUUAUUAUUUUUAUUUUUUUUAAAUUAUUUAUUUAAUAAGGUAAAUUAAUUAAAAUUUUACUGUUAUAAUGAUUAAAUUAGUAUUGAAUAUUUUGUAGAAAAAUUAAAAGUUAGAGAGGUUAUUUUAAGGAAUUCGGCAAAUAUUUUUUUUACCUGUUUAUUAAAAACAUGGCUUUUUGAGAUUAAUUUAAAGUCGAGCCUGCCCACUGAGAUAUAUUAAAUGGCCGCGGUAUUUUGACCGUGCUAAGGUAGCAUAAUCAUUAGUUUUUUGAUUGGAAGCUGGAAUGAAAGGUUGGAUAAGAAAGAUUCUGUCUCUAUAUAAUUUUAUAAGAAUUUUAUUUUUAAGUAAAAAAGCUUAAGUAAUUUUUAAAGACGAGAAGACCCUAUAGAGUUUUAUAUAAAUUUGAUUUUUAUAUUUAAGAAUUAUUUUUAAUUGAAAAUUAAUUUUGUAUUUGGUUGGGGUGAUUAAAAAAUUAAAUAAACUUUUAUUUUUAAAAACCAUAUAUUUAUGAAAAUUUGAUCCAAAUUUAUUGAUUAAAAGAAAAAAUUACCUUAGGGAUAACAGCGUAAUUUUUUUUAAGAGUUCUAAUCGAAAAAAAAGAUUGCGACCUCGAUGUUGGAUUAAAAUUAAUUUUUGGUGAAGAAGUUAAGAAUUUUAGGUCUGUUCGACCUUUGAAAUUUUACAUGAUCUGAGUUUAAACCGGUGUGAGCCAGGUUGGUUUCUAUCUUAAAAUUAUUAGUAUAUUUUAGUACGAAAGGACCAAAUAUAU
RNAcentral lists this ribosomal RNA (1257 nucleotides) under Lamiinae sp. 4 ACP-2013. RNAcentral describes it as "16S ribosomal RNA". The stretch from base 1045 to 1204 matches the Rfam family "Archaeal large subunit ribosomal RNA", at positions 2542 to 2701 of the family's 2987-position model. The record is from RNAcentral. Lineage: Eukaryota; Metazoa; Arthropoda; Insecta; Coleoptera; Cerambycidae.